This 841-nucleotide ribosomal RNA is filed under the name Halomonas sp. YCSA53. RNAcentral describes it as "bacterial SSU rRNA". It matches the Rfam family "Bacterial small subunit ribosomal RNA", at positions 372 to 1204 of the family's 1533-position model. Lineage: Bacteria; Pseudomonadati; Pseudomonadota; Gammaproteobacteria; Oceanospirillales; Halomonadaceae. The record is from RNAcentral.
UGGGCGAAGCCUGAUCCAGCCAUGCCGCGUGUGUGAAGAAGGCUUUCGGGUUGUAAAGCACUUUCAGUGAGGAAGAACGCCUUGGGGCUAAUACCCCCGAGGGAAGACAUCACUCACAGAAGAAGCACCGGCUAACUCCGUGCCAGCAGCCGCGGUAAUACGGAGGGUGCAAGCGUUAAUCGGAAUUACUGGGCGUAAAGCGCGCGUAGGCGGCGUGAUAAGCCGGUUGUGAAAGCCCCGGGCUCAACCUGGGAACGGCAUCCGGAACUGUCAGGCUAGAGUGCAGGAGAGGAAGGUAGAAUUCCCGGUGUAGCGGUGAAAUGCGUAGAGAUCGGGAGGAAUACCAGUGGCGAAGGCGGCCUUCUGGACUGACACUGACGCUGAGGUGCGAAAGCGUGGGUAGCAAACAGGAUUAGAUACCCUGGUAGUCCACGCCGUAAACGAUGUCGACUAGCCGUUGGGGUCCUAGAGACCUUUGUGGCGCAGUUAACGCGAUAAGUCGACCGCCUGGGGAGUACGGCCGCAAGGUUAAAACUCAAAUGAAUUGACGGGGGCCCGCACAAGCGGUGGAGCAUGUGGUUUAAUUCGAUGCAACGCGAAGAACCUUACCUACCCUUGACAUCGUGCGAACUUGGUAGAGAUACCUUGGUGCCUUCGGGAACGCACAGACAGGUGCUGCAUGGCUGUCGUCAGCUCGUGUUGUGAAAUGUUUGGGUUAAGUCCCGUAACGAGCGCAACCCUUGUCCCUAUUUGCCAGCGAUUCGGUCGGGAACUCUAGGGAGACUGCCGGUGACAACCGGAGGAAGGUGGGGGAACGACGUUCAAGUCAUCAUGGCCCUUA